AAAAAAAAACGAUGCAACAGUAGCUUUGAUAGCUCACACAAUGGCUUAAACCUAAAUUUCUUAGAAAUGCUUGCUGUCAUAAUUGCAGUAUGAUCACUUCCAAUUAUGCUAUAGUCAUUGAUACCUAUUAUCAUUAUUACUAGUUGGCCAAAUUCAAUAAAGGAAGAUAUACAAAAUUUAGUAGUACCUGAACUUAGGGGGAUUCUCUUUUCCUUGUUAGUCAAUCAGAGAAACAGCAAAUAAUUUGCUCCGACAAAAUUUAGUAGUACCUGAACUUAAGGGGAUUCUCUUUUCCUUGUUAGUCAAU
RNAcentral lists this long non-coding RNA (307 nucleotides) under Nicotiana benthamiana. RNAcentral describes it as "long non-coding RNA (NBEN_LNC019455)". The record is from RNAcentral. Lineage: Eukaryota; Viridiplantae; Streptophyta; Magnoliopsida; Solanales; Solanaceae.